This 317-nucleotide ribosomal RNA is filed under the name uncultured bacterium. RNAcentral describes it as "bacterial SSU rRNA". It matches the Rfam family "Bacterial small subunit ribosomal RNA", at positions 477 to 793 of the family's 1533-position model. The record is from RNAcentral.
AGCUGCAGAAGAAGCACCGGCUAACUCCGUGCCAGCAGCCGCGGUAAUACGGAGGGUUGCGAGCGUUAAUCGGAAUUACUGGGCGUAAAGCGCAUGCAGGUGGUUUGUUAAGUCAGAUGUGAAAGCCCGGGGCUCAACCUCGGAAUUGCAUUUGAAACUGGCAAACUAGAGUACUGUAGAGGGGGUAGAAUUUCAGGUGUAGCGGUGAAAUGCGUAGAGAUCUGAAGGAAUACCGGUGGCGAAGGCGGCCCCCUGGACAGAUACUGACACUCAGAUGCGAAAGCGUGGGGAGCAAACAGGAUUAGAUACCCUGGUAG